AAAUCAAAAUGGCGGCGUUUUUGUGUAGUCGCUUGAAUUUGGUUGGAAAUUUGUACAGUUUUCCUAAAGUAUGUCAAUCGGUCCUUUCUGGAGGCAAUAACCGGUAACAUUUACCGCCUGUAGUACCUCUUAUUACCGGUUAACAUUGCUUGGAAUUCUUGAAAAUUCAACAUGUGAAAGUAUUGCUUUACCAGUUUGAAAAUGUAUUUUACCUGUCAUGCUUAAAAUAAGGGAGAACACUGAAUAUACACAACUGCCCAAGUCUGUAAGAGACAGUUUAGUUUAAGUGGGAAAAUCUGCGGUAGCCGAAUUUCCACUUAUUGUCACGGUGAAUAUACAACGAGAUCUUUCUGGAAACUAAAAUUUUUUACUUCGAGACACAAUUUUUUUUGCCUUUUUAUUUUGCUUUCCAAGUUGAACAAGGAGCCCUGCAGUUGAUGAAUAUUAGAAUUAGGUAUAUACCACACAGGUAAAUAAUGCCUUUUGCAUGAGCUGAUUGGUCAGUUCGGAAGUAAUUAGCAAAUGCUAUUCACUUCCGAGCAGCCAAAGAGACCUAAUUGCGAGUCAAAUGUUUAAUAUCCAACCACUCUUUUGGUAUAUUGCCAGAAGUAAACUAAUUUUUUGGUGGUAUAUGCUAAAACAAUUAUUCACCCCAGUUUCAGUAAAAGUGGUGGAUAUUUACCUCCACUUCCCUCAUAUCAACAUUGCUUAAUUCCAUUUCUGAUAAAGCAGCAGUGGAAAAGUGAUGAUCUCUCAUCAAAAUGUUUAAUUUUUUGGAUGUUAAAACAACUCUUUUGCGAUAUAUUUUCCCUAUAGCAACUUGCAAUGUUUGCCCCUUCUGCUCACAACACAAGGGUCUGAUUACUGUAUUUACCUGUGUAUAAUACGCACUUUAUUUCUAUAAAAAUAACCACCAACAUUGUAGUGCUUAUUAUACAUGGAUUCUAUUAUUUGUCAGGUGCGUCCUAAUUUGUAUAUGUUAAAAGCACAACAAAGAAAGUAACAAAAGUUUCAUAGGAACUGGUCUUUUUUAGCUUGAUUCAAAUAAUCUACCUAUGAAAAAUUUGCAAUUUCAAUCCAUGAAAAAAAUCUAGUAGAGUAUAACAAACAGCUGUCUAGAUAGACAUCACAAUCACACCAUAUUAUUGUAAUCACAAGCAAUUAUGAAUUUGAUAUGGCAACAAAACUUAUCGUGGUUAUAUGUCGAAGCUACACCAUUUCUGAAAAGCUCAGAAUUAUCCAGUUUGCAGAGCAGACUAGAUUUUUUGUAAAUACAAUGUAGAUUUUUGCUGAGCUUCAAUAUUGGUUAUAAAUAACUAAGUAACAAAAGAUAUCAGUGUUAACGGUAUAGUAUAUUACUUGUUCUUGUUGUCUUAAUAAAUAAUUGUACAAAGA
This is a long non-coding RNA of Pocillopora damicornis (cauliflower coral), 1395 nucleotides long. Lineage: Eukaryota; Metazoa; Cnidaria; Anthozoa; Scleractinia; Pocilloporidae. The record is from RefSeq and is a predicted model, not a curated record.